Molecule: ribosomal RNA, 253 nt
Filed under: uncultured bacterium
Lineage: Bacteria
Description: partial 16S ribosomal RNA
Rfam family: Bacterial small subunit ribosomal RNA
Source: RNAcentral
UACGUAGGGGGCAAGCGUUGUCCGGAUUUAUUGGGCGUAAAGAGCGUGUAGGCGGCCUGAAAGGUCAGCUGUGAAAACUCGAGGCUCAACCUCGAGACGUCGGUUGAAACCAUCUGGCUAGAGUCCGGAAGAGGAGUGUGGAAUUCCCGGUGUGGCGGUGAAAUGCGCAGAUAUCGGGAAGAACACCCGUGGCGAAGGCGGCACUCUGGGACGGUACUGACGCUGAGACGCGAAAGCGUGGGGAGCGAACAGG